RNAcentral lists this ribosomal RNA (700 nucleotides) under uncultured bacterium. RNAcentral's name for it is "bacterial SSU rRNA". It matches the Rfam family "Bacterial small subunit ribosomal RNA", at positions 28 to 776 of the family's 1533-position model. The record is from RNAcentral.
AACGAACGCUGGCGGCAGGCCUAACACAUGCAAGUCGAGCGCACCUUCGGGUGAGCGGCGGACGGGUUAGUAACGCGUGGGAAUGUACCCUUCUCUACGGAAUAGCCAUUGGAAACGAUGAGUAAUACCGUAUACGCCCUUUUGGGGAAAGAUUUAUCGGAGAAGGAUCAGCCCGCGUUAGAUUAGAUAGUUGGUGGGGUAAUGGCCUACCAAGUCUACGAUCUAUAGCUGGUUUUAGAGGAUGAUCAGCAACACUGGGACUGAGACACGGCCCAGACUCCUACGGGAGGCAGCAGUGGGGAAUCUUAGACAAUGGGCGCAAGCCUGAUCUAGCCAUGCCGCGUGAGUGAUGAAGGCCUUAGGGUCGUAAAGCUCUUUCGCCAGGGAUGAUAAUGACAGUACCUGGUAAAGAAACCCCGGCUAACUCCGUGCCAGCAGCCGCGGUAAUACGGAGGGGGUUAGCGUUGUCCGGAAUUACUGGGCGUAAAGCGCACGUAGGCGGAUUAGAAAGUAUGGGGUGAAAUCCCAGGGCUCAACCCUGGAACUGCCUCAUAAACUCCUAGUCUAGAGUUCGAGAGAGGUGAGUGGAAUUCCGAGUGUAGAGGUGAAAUUCGUAGAUAUUCGGAGGAACACCAGUGGCGAAGGCGGCUCACUGGCUCGAUACUGACGCUGAGGUGCGAAAGUGUGGGGAGCAAACAGG